This 252-nucleotide ribosomal RNA is filed under the name uncultured bacterium. Its description in RNAcentral is "partial 16S ribosomal RNA". It matches the Rfam family "Bacterial small subunit ribosomal RNA", at positions 524 to 776 of the family's 1533-position model. The record is from RNAcentral.
UACGUAGGGGGCUAGCGUUAUCCGGAAUUACUGGGCGUAAAGGGUGCGUAGGUGGUUUCUUAAGUCAGAGGUGAAAGGCUACGGCUCAACCGUAGUAAGCCUUUGAAACUGGGGAACUUGAGUGCAGGAGAGGAGAGUGGAAUUCCUAGUGUAGCGGUGAAAUGCGUAGAUAUUAGGAGGAACACCAGUUGCGAAGGCGGCUCUCUGGACUGUAACUGACACUGAGGUACGAAAGCGUGGGGAGCAAACAGG